AUUGAACGCUGGCGGCAGGCUUAACACAUGCAAGUCGAACGGUAACAGGAAGAAAGCUUGCUUUCUUUGCUGACGAGUGGCGGACGGGUGAGUAAUGCUUGGGAAUCUGGCUUAUGGAGGGGGAUAACUACUGGAAACGGUAGCUAAUACCGCGUAAUGUCUACGGACUAAAAGGGGCGAAAGCUCUUGCCAUAAGAUGAGCCCAAGUGGGAUUAGGUAGUUGGUGAGGUAACGGCUCACCAAGCCGUCGAUCUCUAGCUGGUCUGAGAGGAUGACCAGCCACACUGGAACUGAGACACGGUCCAG
RNAcentral lists this ribosomal RNA (306 nucleotides) under uncultured bacterium. RNAcentral describes it as "bacterial SSU rRNA". It matches the Rfam family "Bacterial small subunit ribosomal RNA", at positions 30 to 334 of the family's 1533-position model. The record is from RNAcentral.